Neoarius graeffei (lesser salmon catfish) is the source of this 367-nucleotide long non-coding RNA. RefSeq lists it as uncharacterized. The transcript is spliced from 2 exons. NCBI's taxonomy places the organism in Eukaryota, Metazoa, Chordata, Actinopteri, Siluriformes, Ariidae. The record is from RefSeq and is a predicted model, not a curated record.
CAGAGAGAGAGAGAGAGAGAGACAGGAGGGCAGAGAGAGAGAGGAUGGAAAAGGUGUAGGGCGUACUGUAUAUCAGCCCAAAAAGGACACAGAAGGCCUGAGGAAGGUUGGGCAGCUCGUCCAUCACCACACUGCCUUCCAGGAUGAUUCCUACUCUGGACGGGUUCAGCUGAGGACUUUCUUCAUCAAUGCAGAGGAUUCCCACUGGAGUCUGACUGUAUAAGUCCUUGCAAGUUGCAUCCUGACAAGAGAAAGAUUGACAGUACAGGACACAAUCAUACCAGUUAGAUAUUUAAAAUGAAAAGCCUCAGAAAAUAAGUGAACUGAAUGUAAUUAUUGAAAGGACAAUAAAGACUGGUCAUAUUUG